UGGGGAAUUUUGGACAAUGGGCGAAAGCCUGAUCCAGCAAUGCCGCGUGUGUGAAGAAGGCCUUCGGGUUGUAAAGCACUUUUGUCCGGAAAGAAAUCCUUGGCUCUAAUACAGUCGGGGGAUGACGGUACCGGAAGAAUAAGCACCGGCUAACUACGUGCCAGCAGCCGCGGUAAUACGUAGGGUGCAAGCGUUAAUCGGAAUUACUGGGCGUAAAGCGUGCGCAGGCGGUUUGCUAAGACCGAUGUGAAAUCCCCGGGCUCAACCUGGGAACUGCAUUGGUGACUGGCAGGCUAGAGUAUGGCAGAGGGGGGUAGAAUUCCACGUGUAGCAGUGAAAUGCGUAGAGAUGUGGAGGAAUACCGAUGGCGAAGGCAGCCCCCUGGGCCAAUACUGACGCUCAUGCACGAAAGCGUGGGGAGCAAACAGGAUUAGAUACCCUGGUAGUCCACGCCCUAAACGAUGUCAACUAGUUGUUGGGGGAUUCAUUUCCUUAGUAACGUAGCUAACGCGUGAAGUUGACCGCCUGGGGAGUACGGUCGCAAGAUUAAAACUCAAAGGAAUUGACGGGGUCAUAGCUGUUUCC
This 585-nucleotide ribosomal RNA is filed under the name uncultured bacterium. RNAcentral describes it as "partial 16S ribosomal RNA". It matches the Rfam family "Bacterial small subunit ribosomal RNA", at positions 355 to 937 of the family's 1533-position model. The record is from RNAcentral.